GCAUAUCAAUAAGCGGAGGAAAAGAAACUAACAAGGAUUCCCCUAGUAACUGCGAGUGAAGCGGGAAAAGCUCAAAUUUAAAAUCUGGCAGUCUUUGGCUGUCCGAGUUGUAAUCUAGAGAAGUAAUGCCCGUGCUGGACCGUGUAUAAGUCUCCUGGGAUGGGGCGUCAUAGAGGGUGAGAAUCCCGUCUUUGACACGGACUACCAGUGCAUUGUGGUAUGCUCUCAAAGAGUCGAGUUGUUUGGGAAUGCAGCUCAAAAUGGGUGGUAAAUUCCAUCUAAAGCUAAAUAUUGGCGAGAGACCGAUAGCGAACAAGUACCGUGAGGGAAAGAUGAAAAGAACUUUGGAAAGAGAGUUAAACAGUACGUGAAAUUGCUGAAAGGGAAACGCUUGAAGUCAGUCGCGUUGGCCGGGGAUCAGCCUUGCUUUUGCAUGGUGUACUUUCUGGUUGACGGGUCAGCAUCAAUUUUGAUCACUGGAAAAAGGCCUGGGGAAUGUGGCAGCUUCGGCUGUGUUAUAGCCCCUAGUCACAUACAGUGGUUGGGAUUGAGGAACUCAGCACGCCGCAAGGCCGGGUUUCGACCACGUUCGUGCUUAGGAUGCUGGCAUAAUGGCUUUAAGCGACCCGUCUUGAAACACGGACC
Molecule: ribosomal RNA, 645 nt
Filed under: Agaricus martineziensis
Lineage: Eukaryota; Fungi; Basidiomycota; Agaricomycetes; Agaricales; Agaricaceae
Description: LSU rRNA
Rfam family: Eukaryotic large subunit ribosomal RNA
Source: RNAcentral